This 152-nucleotide small RNA is filed under the name Citrobacter gillenii. RNAcentral's name for it is "Enterobacterial sRNA STnc410". It matches the Rfam family "Enterobacterial sRNA STnc410". The record is from RNAcentral. Lineage: Bacteria; Pseudomonadati; Pseudomonadota; Gammaproteobacteria; Enterobacterales; Enterobacteriaceae.
AGAUAAAACGUUCAAUAGGGGAAAAUACCUAUCGUUUAGCCCACUAUUUUCGUCGAUAUCUACGCCUUUUGUCUUCCCAAAAACAGGAGACUGCUCUUAUUAAAGCCUUAGGUUAAUGUUUUUGCUAUUUUUUUGCCCCAUGAAUAAAGAAU